UUGAACUGAAGAGUUUGAUCCUGGCUCAGAUUGAACGCUGGCGGCAUGCCUUACACAUGCAAGUCGAACGGCAGCACGGGUGCUUGCACCUGGUGGCGAGUGGCGAACGGGUGAGUAAUACAUCGGAACAUGUCCUGUAGUGGGGGAUAGCCCGGCGAAAGCCGG
This 165-nucleotide ribosomal RNA is filed under the name Burkholderia multivorans. Its description in RNAcentral is "partial 16S ribosomal RNA". It matches the Rfam family "Bacterial small subunit ribosomal RNA", at positions 1 to 161 of the family's 1533-position model. Lineage: Bacteria; Pseudomonadati; Pseudomonadota; Betaproteobacteria; Burkholderiales; Burkholderiaceae. The record is from RNAcentral.